This is an RNA transcript of Ostrinia nubilalis (European corn borer), 2317 nucleotides long. RefSeq lists it as uncharacterized. The transcript has 3 exons. NCBI's taxonomy places the organism in Eukaryota, Metazoa, Arthropoda, Insecta, Lepidoptera, Crambidae. The record is from RefSeq and is a predicted model, not a curated record.
UAAAUAAAUCGAAGGCCAAUCAAUACACUAUUGUGCCAUAUUGAUUUGCAAGUCGCAGUAGCCAAAAGUGAACAAUUUUAUUCAACUUUGCAAGAAAAUAACCGGCCGCCAUUUUGGUUCCCUUUACUUUGCAUCGAGAAAAAAUAUCACCACGCCCUGCCAUUUUUCGCCAUGACCAUGGAUAGCGAUUCGGCUGAAAAGGAAGUGGACAAGAACGCAAGGAAAGGUAUCAUAAGAAAAAUCGCACAGUGUAAAGCGUCGUUGACAAAGGCAGAAAAUUUUAUCCGCACAUUGGAAUCGCCAAUCAACAAGGACGUGGUAUCUGCGCGGCUACAACAACUGCAGGAGGUGCUGCCAAGGCAUGAGCAGCUACUGAUCGAAUUAAGUACUUUGGACGACACCCUUGAUGAAGACUAUUUCGGAAACGACGCGUUCGAGGACCGGUAUUUGGCGAUCGUGGCGAGCCUUCGAGGCCUACUGGCGCCGCAGCCGCCGUCGCCGGCUCCAGCAUCGGGCGCGCAGCAGUCUACAGACGCGUGCGCUACCAGCGUGAGGCUGCCAGAAAUAGACAUUCCUGCGUUUGACGGCAAGGACUACACAAAAUACCACUCGUUCAUCGAACUCUUUAGUGCAGUGAUAGAUAAUAAUUCUAAAUUAGCCUCAAUUCAAAAGCUUUUCUAUCUUAGAAAAUACUUAAAAGGUGAGCCAUUGUCAUUAAUCGAAGGAUUACCCGUCACCGGGGACUCGUAUGGAAAAGCUCUUGAAUUGUUGAGAAAUAGAUAUGACAAUAAGUUUCUUAUUAUCACUAACCAUGUACAAGAGCUGCUAGACUUCAAUCCACUAGUAAAGGGAGCGGCUACCAAUUUAAGAGAGUUAGUGUCACAUGCUCGCCAGCACUUAGGUGCACUGAAAACAUUAGGACAACCGACCGACAGCUGGGACAUGAUAGUUUUACCCAUUUUGUUGCGAAAGGUCGACCAGUUUACUUGCAGAGCCUAUCAUUCGGAGCGUGACACCACAAAGCUGCCCCUACUGGAUGACUUCUUCGCUUUUGUGGAGCGGAGAGCUAGCAGCUUCGAGGAGAGCCAAAGAAGUGAAGACAGUCACCUAUGGACUCAAGAGCUCAAGCUACCUGGCCACCAGAUGUCUCCAGGAGUUAGCAGACCGGUUUGGGAGCAAUAUGCCGCUGGCUGCUGAGGUCAUCCGGACAGCCAUGUACGUUGACGAUGCUCUUUUUGGAGCACAGACCAUCGAUGAAGCUCUUGAGGUUUAAGGCUCAAGCAGCCAGCCAGUUUAUGGGAUCCCUGCCCUCCGAUCGCGUCACCGAGAGCCACCCGUUCGACAAAGUUGGAAUCGACUUCUGUGGUCCGUUUCAAGUAAAACAAUCGGGCAUGCGGAGGGCCGUUGUCACCAAAGGCUACACACUGGUAAUUGUUUGCUUCGCCACUAAGGCUGUCCACCUUGAGCUAGUUUCAGACAUGACAACUCAAACAUUCUUAGCAGCCUUAAAAAGAUUCAUUGGCAGACGCGGUAUUCCCGCCAUUAUUAAUUGCGAUAAUGCACAAACGUUUAAAGGAGCCGACAACGUGCUCCACGACUUGUAUAAAUUAGUCAAUUCCAAAAAGCAUCAAUCUCAAGUGAGUGUGGCUGCUGUAGAGAAAGGAAUAACCUUUCGCUACAUCCCCUCCUACUCCCCCAACCACGGAGGCCUCUGGGAGGCCGCCGUUAAGAGUUUUAAGUUCCAUUUCAAAAGAGUGGUGGGGGAGAAUAAAUUCACGUACGAAGAAUUGACCACUAUUUUAUCCGAAAUAGAGGGUAUCCUGAAUUCCAGGCCCCUCACGCCGCUUUCAAGCGACCCUGCAGACCUAACAGCCCUAACCCCAGGACACUUCCUGACUGGUCGUCCACUCAUAUGUAUCCCUGAGCCGGAUCUAACCGAUAUCCCUCUAAAUAGACUAAGAUUCUGGAGGCGCUGUACUCAGGUCAAGCAACAUUUUUGGAAAGCCUGGUACAGCCAAUAUUUAUCGCAGCUAAAUGUUAGAAACAAGUGGAGCAAACAGUUACCAGAUGUGGAAGAAGGCAGUUUAGUUUUACUAAAAGGAGACAACGUUCCCCCGCUGCAGUGGCCCAUGGCGCGGGUGACGCGGGUGUUUCGGGGAAGCGAUGGGAGGGUAAGGGUCGCGGAGCUCAAAACCGCUACUGGUCUAACCCGUAGGUCUAUUAAUAAAAUGUGUAUCCUUCCCAUAGAUUAUUAAGUAACAAGCCAUUUUAAAACUGUUAAAUAAUUUUUAACCAUAGGUUUUUAAGCAAAUGUUAA